Molecule: ribosomal RNA, 915 nt
Filed under: uncultured bacterium
Lineage: Bacteria
Description: bacterial SSU rRNA
Rfam family: Bacterial small subunit ribosomal RNA
Source: RNAcentral
CGUGCUUAACACAUGCAAGUCGAACGGUAACAGGAGAAGCUUGCUUCUUGCUGACGAGUGGCGCACGGGUGAGUAAUGCAUAGGUAACGUGCCCCUUAGUCUAGGAUAGCCACUGGAAACGGUGAUUAAUACUGGAUACUCCUUCUUCCUUAAUGGAAGUUGGGAAAGUUUUUCGCUAAGGGAUCGGCCUAUGUUGUAUCAGGUAGUUGGUGAGGUAAUGGCUCACCAAGCCUAUGACACAUAGCGGGUCUGAGAGGAUGAUCCGCCACACUGGUACUGAGACACGGACCAGACUCCUACGGGAGGCAGCAGUGGGGAAUAUUGCACAAUGGACGAAAGUCUGAUGCAGCAACGCCGCGUGGAGGAUGACACAUUUCGGUGCGUAAACUCCUUUUAUAUGAGAAGAUAAUGACGGUAUCAUAUGAAUAAGCACCGGCUAACUCCGUGCCAGCAGCCGCGGUAAUACGGAGGGUGCAAGCGUUAUUCGGAAUCACUGGGCGUAAAGGGUGCGUAGGCGGUUUGAUAAGUCUGAUGUGAAAUCCUAUGGCUCAACCAUAGAACUGCAUUGGAAACUGUCAAACUAGAAUACUGAAGGGGCAGAUGGAAUUAGUGGUGUAGGGGUAAAAUCCGUAGAUAUCACUAGGAAUACCGAAAGCGAAAGCGAUCUGCUGGGAAGUUAUUGACGCUGAGGCACGAAAGCGUGGGGAGCAAACGGGAUUAGAUACCCCGGUAGUCCACGCCCUAAACGAUGAAUGCUAGUCGUCGGAAAGCUCGUCUUUUCGGUGAUGCAGUUAACACAUUAAGCAUUCCGCCUGGGGAGUACGGUCGCAAGAUUAAAACUCAAAGGGAAUAGACGGGGACCCGCACAAGUGGUGGAGCAUGUGGGUUUAAUUCGAGAUACGCGAGGACCCUUAC